Molecule: long non-coding RNA, 237 nt
Organism: Macaca mulatta (Rhesus monkey)
Lineage: Eukaryota; Metazoa; Chordata; Mammalia; Primates; Cercopithecidae
Source: RefSeq, a predicted model, not a curated record
UGAUUGCCUCAUCUGUCAUUUGCACUGAGCUCAUGUUGCUAAUUAUUAGCUAUGGUGGAUGCAGAGAGAAAGACGGAAUUGGAUGUGGAACGGCAGAAGCUAUGACAAGCUGCAAGAGGGCCUGGCUGUCACUGGUUACAAAAUUACAAUAUUUCUCAAAGAAACUCCAAAGAACAUGGAAAUGAGACCACAGGAAGAAUCCAGAACUACUACCCAUCAUAAAAUUUCUAUCUGCAA